RNAcentral lists this ribosomal RNA (484 nucleotides) under uncultured bacterium. RNAcentral describes it as "partial 16S ribosomal RNA". It matches the Rfam family "Bacterial small subunit ribosomal RNA", at positions 30 to 507 of the family's 1533-position model. The record is from RNAcentral.
AUUGAACGCUGGCGGCAGGCCUAACACAUGCAAGUCGAGCGGAUGAAGGGAGCUUGCUCCUGGAUUCAGCGGCGGACGGGUGAGUAAUGCCUAGGAAUCUGCCUGGUAGUGGGGGAUAACGUCCGGAAACGGGCGCUAAUACCGCAUACGUCCUGAGGGAGAAAGUGGGGGAUCUUCGGACCUCACGCUAUCAGAUGAGCCUAGGUCGGAGUAGCUAGUUGGUGGGGUAAAGGCCUACCAAGGCGACGAUCCGUAACUGGUCUGAGAGGAUGAUCAGUCACACUGGAACUGGGACACGGUCCAGACCCCUACGGGAGGCAGCAGUGGGGAAUAUUGGACAAUGGGCGAAAGCCUGAUCCAGCCAUGCCGAGUGUGUGAAGAAGGUCUUCGGAUUGUAAAGCACUUUAAGUUGGGAGGAAGGGCAGUAAGUUAAUACCUUGCUGUUUUGACGUUACCAACAGAAUAAGCACCGGCUAACUUCGUG